UUUCCGUAGGUGAACCUGUAGAAGGAUCAUUGUCGUACCCUAGAAACAGAACGACCUGAGAACGAUGAAACAUCACUCUCGGUAGGCCGGUUUCUUAUUGUGCCUACCGAUUCCGUGGUUAUGCGUUCAUCCAUGCCCAAGACUUCAGUUUUGGUUGGAUCGUACGCAUAGCUUCCGGAUAUCACCAAACCCCACCACAAAAAGUGUCAAGGAAAAUGCAACUAAACAGCCUGCUUUCGCCAACCCGGAGAUGGUGUUUGUUCGGAAGCAGUGCUGCAAUGUAAAGUCUAAAACGACUCUCGGCAAUGGAUAUCUUGGCUCUC
Molecule: unclassified non-coding RNA, 323 nt
Filed under: soil metagenome
Description: partial contains small subunit ribosomal RNA, internal transcribed spacer 1, and 5.8S ribosomal RNA
Source: RNAcentral